AACGCACCUUGCGCUCCUUGGUAUUCCGAGGAGCAUGCCUGUUUGAGUGUCAUUAAAUUCUCAACCAUGUCUCGAUUGAUUUCGAGCGCAUGGCUUGGAUGUGGGGGCUGCUGGCGGCGCGAGCCGUCGGCUCUCCUGAAAUGCAUUAGCAAAGUCGAGUCUUUUCGUGCACGGCCUUUCGACGUGAUAAUGAUCGUCGUGGCUGGAGCGAGAGGCGUGAAUCGUCGUUGCUUCCAAUACUGCUGAUCCUCGCGGAUCGCGCUUUCUUAAGCUUGACCUCAAAUCAGGUAGGACUACCCGCUGAACUUAA
Molecule: unclassified non-coding RNA, 310 nt
Filed under: Chalciporus sp.
Lineage: Eukaryota; Fungi; Basidiomycota; Agaricomycetes; Boletales; Boletaceae
Also listed under: 1 other name
Description: partial contains 5.8S ribosomal RNA, internal transcribed spacer 2, and large subunit ribosomal RNA
Rfam family: 5.8S ribosomal RNA (bases 1-52)
Source: RNAcentral